RNAcentral lists this long non-coding RNA (201 nucleotides) under Gossypium barbadense (sea-island cotton). Its description in RNAcentral is "long non-coding RNA (GBAR_LNC014996)". Lineage: Eukaryota; Viridiplantae; Streptophyta; Magnoliopsida; Malvales; Malvaceae. The record is from RNAcentral.
CCAGUUAUACUCUAUCCCUUGACAAUAUAACCUUUGUAAACUUGAAGCCCUAGUUACACUUCUACUCGUGGUCGUAUAAUCAUCGUCAAUUGGGAUCUUAAGUUGUGAUGCGAUCUCGACUUCUUAAGUGAUGGCUCCAUCCUUACAUAAUAGAUGAAAUUUGCAGGUCAUCGAGCUCUAUGACAUCACCGUGAACCCAAA